GAUGAAGAACGUAGCGAAAUGCGAUAAGUAGUGUGAAUUGCAGAAUUCAGUGAAUCAUCGAAUCUUUGAACGCGCAUUGCGUCCCUUGGUAUUCCAUGGGGCAUGCCUGUUCGAGCGUCAUUUGUACCUUCAAGCUCUGCUUGGUGUUGGGUGUUUGUCUCGCCUCUGCGUGUAGACUCGCCUCAAAACAAUUGGCAGCCGGCGUAUUGAUUUCGGAGCGCAGUACAUCUCGCGCUUUGCACUCAUAACGACGACGUCCAAAAGUACAUUUUUACACUCUUGACCUCGGAUCAGGUAGGGAUACCCGCUGAACUUAAGCAUAUCAAUAAGCGGAGGA
RNAcentral lists this unclassified non-coding RNA (337 nucleotides) under soil metagenome. Its description in RNAcentral is "partial contains 5.8S ribosomal RNA, internal transcribed spacer 2, and large subunit ribosomal RNA". The stretch from base 1 to 120 matches the Rfam family "5.8S ribosomal RNA", at positions 35 to 154 of the family's 154-position model. The record is from RNAcentral.